CAGUCGCCGCGGUAACACAGAGGGUGCGAGCGUUAAUCGGAUUUACUGGGCGUAAAGCGUGCGUAGGCGGCUUUUUAAGUCGGAUGUGAAAUCCCUGAGCUUAACUUAGGAAUUGCAUUCGAUACUGGGAAGCUAGAGUAUGGGAGAGGAUGGUAGAAUUCCAGGUGUAGCGGUGAAAUGCGUAGAGAUCUGGAGGAAUACCGAUGGCGAAGGCAGCCAUCUGGCCUAAUACUGACGCUGAGGUACGAAAGCAUGGGGAGCAAACAGGAUUAGAUACCCGAGUAGUCCCUGUCUCUUAUAC
RNAcentral lists this ribosomal RNA (301 nucleotides) under uncultured bacterium. Its description in RNAcentral is "partial 16S ribosomal RNA". It matches the Rfam family "Bacterial small subunit ribosomal RNA", at positions 509 to 807 of the family's 1533-position model. The record is from RNAcentral.